Molecule: ribosomal RNA, 253 nt
Filed under: uncultured bacterium
Lineage: Bacteria
Description: partial 16S ribosomal RNA
Rfam family: Bacterial small subunit ribosomal RNA
Source: RNAcentral
UACAGAGGUCCCAAGCGUUGUUCGGAUUCAUUGGGCGUAAAGGGUGCGUAGGUGGCGUCGUAAGUUGGGUGUGAAAUCUCGGGGCUUAACUCCGAAACUGCAUUCGAUACUGCGGUGCUUGAGGACUGGAGAGGAGACUGGAAUUUACGGUGUAGCAGUGAAAUGCGUAGAGAUCGUAAGGAAGGCCAGUGGCGAAGGCGGGUCUCUGGACAGUUCCUGACGCUGAGGCACGAAGGUCAGGGGAGCAAACGGG